CCCGGAAGCUAAGACUCGCAGCCGCCCGGACACAUUCCGAACCCGGAAGCUAAGACUCGCAGCGCCGAUGGUACUGCAGGGGCGACCCUGUGGGAGAGUAGGACACCGCCGGAC
RNAcentral lists this ribosomal RNA (114 nucleotides) under Agromyces sp. Soil535. Lineage: Bacteria; Bacillati; Actinomycetota; Actinomycetes; Micrococcales; Microbacteriaceae. The record is from RNAcentral.